RNAcentral lists this ribosomal RNA (1033 nucleotides) under Vibrio parahaemolyticus. RNAcentral describes it as "bacterial SSU rRNA". It matches the Rfam family "Bacterial small subunit ribosomal RNA", at positions 501 to 1533 of the family's 1533-position model. Lineage: Bacteria; Pseudomonadati; Pseudomonadota; Gammaproteobacteria; Vibrionales; Vibrionaceae. The record is from RNAcentral.
CUCCGUGCCAGCAGCCGCGGUAAUACGGAGGGUGCGAGCGUUAAUCGGAAUUACUGGGCGUAAAGCGCAUGCAGGUGGUUUGUUAAGUCAGAUGUGAAAGCCCGGGGCUCAACCUCGGAAUUGCAUUUGAAACUGGCAGACUAGAGUACUGUAGAGGGGGGUAGAAUUUCAGGUGUAGCGGUGAAAUGCGUAGAGAUCUGAAGGAAUACCGGUGGCGAAGGCGGCCCCCUGGACAGAUACUGACACUCAGAUGCGAAAGCGUGGGGAGCAAACAGGAUUAGAUACCCUGGUAGUCCACGCCGUAAACGAUGUCUACUUGGAGGUUGUGGCCUUGAGCCGUGGCUUUCGGAGCUAACGCGUUAAGUAGACCGCCUGGGGAGUACGGUCGCAAGAUUAAAACUCAAAUGAAUUGACGGGGGCCCGCACAAGCGGUGGAGCAUGUGGUUUAAUUCGAUGCAACGCGAAGAACCUUACCUACUCUUGACAUCCAGAGAACUUUCCAGAGAUGGAUUGGUGCCUUCGGGAACUCUGAGACAGGUGCUGCAUGGCUGUCGUCAGCUCGUGUUGUGAAAUGUUGGGUUAAGUCCCGCAACGAGCGCAACCCUUAUCCUUGUUUGCCAGCGAGUAAUGUCGGGAACUCCAGGGAGACUGCCGGUGAUAAACCGGAGGAAGGUGGGGACGACGUCAAGUCAUCAUGGCCCUUACGAGUAGGGCUACACACGUGCUACAAUGGCGCAUACAGAGGGCGGCCAACUUGCGAAAGUGAGCGAAUCCCAAAAAGUGCGUCGUAGUCCGGAUUGGAGUCUGCAACUCGACUCCAUGAAGUCGGAAUCGCUAGUAAUCGUGGAUCAGAAUGCCACGGUGAAUACGUUCCCGGGCCUUGUACACACCGCCCGUCACACCAUGGGAGUGGGCUGCAAAAGAAGUAGGUAGUUUAACCUUCGGGGGGACGCUUACCACUUUGUGGUUCAUGACUGGGGUGAAGUCGUAACAAGGUAGCGCUAGGGGAACCUGGCGCUGGAUCACCUCCUUA